RNAcentral lists this long non-coding RNA (265 nucleotides) under Monodelphis domestica (gray short-tailed opossum). Its description in RNAcentral is "lncRNA (ENSMODG00000043474.1)". The record is from RNAcentral. Lineage: Eukaryota; Metazoa; Chordata; Mammalia; Didelphimorphia; Didelphidae.
CGAAAAUUGCGCCUCAGAGGCAAAGGCCAGAAUUAAACACUGAGUGGAAAUUGCACAGAAGCAAUUUUGGAUUGAUGAAACAAAAGAAAAACUUGAAUUAGAUACAGCUAGAACCGACUUCUCUCCGGAGUUAGUGGAGGCCACUUCAUUCAAGGUCUUUCGAACACAGGCUAUGAAGAAAUAAAGGCUAAGUAACUUUUGCCUUGGGUCAUACAACUAGUAAUUGUCCUUGGAAAGAUUUGAAAGAAAGCCUUCCUGACUCAAA